CCUACGGGUGGCAGCAGUGAGGAAUAUUGGUCAAUGGGCGGAAGCCUGAACCAGCCAAGUAGCGUGCAGGAUGACGGCCCUACGGGUUGUAAACUGCUUUUAUACGGGAAUAACGCGCCUUACGUGUAGGGCUUUGCAUGUACCGUAUGAAUAAGGACCGGCUAAUUCCGUGCCAGAGGCCGCGGUAAUACGGGAGGUCCGGGCGUGAUCCGGAUUUAUUGGGUUUAAAGGGAGCGUAGGCCGGAUGUCAAGCGUGCUGUGAAAUGUCCGGGCCCAACCCGGGCCUUGCAGCGCGAACUGGCGUGCUUGAGUCCGCGGAAAGCAGGCGGAAGUCGUCGUGUAGCGGUGAAAGGCUUAGAUAUGACGCAGAACCCCGAUUGCGAAGGCAGCUUGCUGCAGCGGAACUGACGCUGAUGCUCGAAAGCGCGGGUAUCGAACAGGAUUAGAUACCCUGGUAGUC
This 460-nucleotide ribosomal RNA is filed under the name uncultured bacterium. Its description in RNAcentral is "partial 16S ribosomal RNA". It matches the Rfam family "Bacterial small subunit ribosomal RNA", at positions 338 to 795 of the family's 1533-position model. The record is from RNAcentral.